AGAGUUUGAUCAUGGCUCAGGACGAACGCUGGCGGCGUGCUUAACACAUGCAAGUCAAGGGGGCCCGUAGCAAUACGGGCAACCGGCGAACGGGUGCGUAACACGUGAGCAACCUGCCGAUCUGCGGGGGAUAGCCGGCCCAACGGCCGGGUAAUACCGCAUACGUUCUCGAGAGGGAGUCCUCUUGAGAGGAAACCCCCGGGGUAACCCGGAUGGGCAGAUCGAGGGGCUCGCGGCCUAUCAGCUAGUUGGCGGGGUAAUGGCCCACCAAGGCACCGACGGGUAGCUGGUCUGAGAGGAUGGCCAGCCACAUUGGGACUGAGAAACGGCCCAGACUCCUACGGGAGGCAGCAGUGGGGAAUCUUGCGCAAUGGCCGAAAGGCUGACGCAGCGACGCCGCGUGUGGGAGGACGCCCUUCGGGGUGUAAACCACUGUUGCCCGGGACGAACACCCUCUUUCGAGAGGGCUGACGGUACCGGGUGAGGAAGCACCGGCUAACUCCGUGCCAGCAGCCGCGGUAAUAC
RNAcentral lists this ribosomal RNA (525 nucleotides) under uncultured bacterium. Its description in RNAcentral is "bacterial SSU rRNA". It matches the Rfam family "Bacterial small subunit ribosomal RNA", at positions 8 to 526 of the family's 1533-position model. The record is from RNAcentral.